UCAAACUUAAGAGUUUGAUCCUGGCUCAGAACGAACGCUGGCGGCAGGCCUAACACAUGCAAGUCGAACGAACCUUCGGGUUAGUGGCGCACGGGUGCGUAACGCGUGGGAAUAUGCCCAUAGGUAAGGAAUAACUGCUGGAAACGGUAGCUAAUACCUUAUAAUAUCUCAGGAUCAAAGAUUUAUCGCCUAUGGAUUAGCCCGCGUCAGAUUAGAUUGUUGGUGAGGUAAAAGCUCACCAAGUCGACGAUCUGUAGGGGGUCUGAGAGGAUGAUCCCCCACACUGGUACUGAGACACGGACCAGACUCCUACGGGAGGCAGCAGUGAGGAAUAUUGCACAAUGGAGGAAACUCUGAUGCAGCCAUGCCGCGUGAGUGAAGAAGGCCUUAGGGUUGUAAAGCUCUUUCAAUAGUGAAGAUAAUGACGGUAGCUAUAGAAGAAGCUCCGGCUAAAUUCGUGCCAGCAGCCGCGGUAAUACGAAUGGAGCAAGCGUUGUUCGGAAUCACUGGGCUUAAAGCGUAUGUAGGCGGAUUUACAAGUCAGGAGUGAAAUCCCGGGGCUCAACCUCGGAACUGCUCUUGAAACUGUAAGUCUAGAAUACUGGAGAGGUUGGGAGAAUUCCUAGUGUAGAGGUGAAAUUCGCAGAUAUUAGGAGGAAUACCAGUGGCGUAGGCGCCCAACUGGACAGUUAUUGACGCUCAGAUACGAAAGCGUGGGGAGCAAACAGGAUUAGAUACCCUGGUAGUCCACGCCGUAAACGAUGUGUGCUAGUUGUCGGGACUUAGUCUCGGUGACGGAGCGAAAGUAUUAAGCACACCGCCUGGGGAGUACGGCCGCAAGGUUAAAACUCAAAGGAAUUGACGGGGACCCGCACAAGCGGUGGAGCAUGUUGUUUAAUUCGAAGCAACGCGAAGAACCUUACCCACUCUUGACAUCCUCCUUAGGACUUGCAGAGAUGCUUGUCUUCGGUUCGGCCGGGGGAGUGACAGGUGCUGCAUGGCUGUCGUCAGCUCGUGUCGUGAGAUGUUUGGUUAAGUCCAGCAACGAGCGCAACCCUUAUCGUAUGUUGCCAGCAUUUAGUUGGGCACUCGUGCGAGACUGCCGGUGACAAGCCGGAGGAAGGUGGGGACGACGUCAAGUCAUCAUGGCCCUUACGAGUGGGGCUACAAACGUGCUACAAUGGUAGUGACAGUGGGCAGCGACCUCGCGAGGGGGAGCUAAUCUCCAAAAACUAUCUCAGUUCGGAUUGUACUCUGCAACUCGAGUGCAUGAAGUUGGAAUCGCUAGUAAUCGCGCAUCAGCAUGUCGCGGUGAAUACGUUCCCGGGUCUUGUACACACCGCCCGUCACGUCAUGGGAGUUGGUUCUACCCGAAGGCGCCGAGCUAACCUCGGAGGCAGGCGACCACGGUAGGGUCAGCGACUGGGACGAAGUCGUAACAAGGUAGCCGUAGGGGAACCUGCGGCUGGAUCACCUCCUUUCUAAGG
RNAcentral lists this ribosomal RNA (1487 nucleotides) under Micavibrio sp. TMED27. RNAcentral's name for it is "bacterial SSU rRNA". It matches the Rfam family "Bacterial small subunit ribosomal RNA". Lineage: Bacteria; Pseudomonadati; Bdellovibrionota; Bdellovibrionia; Bdellovibrionales; Pseudobdellovibrionaceae. The record is from RNAcentral.